Molecule: ribosomal RNA, 909 nt
Filed under: uncultured bacterium
Lineage: Bacteria
Description: bacterial SSU rRNA
Rfam family: Bacterial small subunit ribosomal RNA
Source: RNAcentral
CACAAAUGACGCUGCGGGAUGCUCUCCCCUUUCCAAUCAAACGAGGAUUCUAUAGCUGCUAAAAUGAUUACGUUGCGAACGGGUGAGUAAUUUUUCGGAACGAUUUCCAAUAUGGGGGAUAACUAAUCGAAAGGUUGGCUAAUACCGCAUACGCCCUACGGGGGAAAGCAGGGGAUCUUCGGACCUUGCGUUAAUGGAGCGGCCGGAUAUCUGAUUAGCUAGUUGGUGAGGUAAAAGCUCACCAAGGCGACGAUCAGUAGCUGGUCUGAGAGGACGACCAGCCACACUGGAACUGAGACACGGUCCAGACUCCUACGGGAGGCAGCAGUGGGGAAUUUUGGACAAUGGGGCGAAAGCCUGAUCCAGCCAUUCCGCGGUGAGUGAAGCAGGCCUUCGGUGUUGUAAAGCUCUUUCGCAAGGGAAGAAACGAUGCAGCUCGAAUAAACUGUGUUAAUGACGGUACCUUGAUAAAGAAGCACCGGUCUAACUACGUGCCAGCAGCCGCGGUUAAUUCAGUGGGGUGCAAGCGAUUAAUCGGAAUCUGCUGGGCAGUAAAAGCGUGCGCAGGGCGGUUUUGUAAGAUCAGGAUGUGAAAUCCCCGUGGCUCAACCUGGAGCAACUGCAUAUCAAAACUGACAAUGCUAGUAAGUAUGGUAGAGGGUGGUGGUAAUUUCCUGUGUAGCGGUGAAAUGCGUAGAUAUAGGAAGGAACACCAGUGGCGAAGGCGACCACCUAGGACUGAUACUGACACUGAGGUGCGAAAGCGUGGGGAGCAAACAGGAUUAGAUACCCUGGUAGUCCACGCCGUAAACGACGUCAACUUAGCCGUUGGGAGCCUGAGCUCUUAGUGGCGCAGCAACGCAUUAAUAACGCCUGGGGGGGCGCCUGCCCGAAAACUAUAAUGUCGCG